Molecule: RNase MRP RNA, 214 nt
Filed under: Mnemiopsis leidyi (sea walnut)
Lineage: Eukaryota; Metazoa; Ctenophora; Tentaculata; Lobata; Bolinopsidae
Description: rNase MRP
Rfam family: RNase MRP
About the family: RNase MRP is an enzymatically active ribonucleoprotein with two distinct roles in eukaryotes. In mitochondria it plays a direct role in the initiation of mitochondrial DNA replication.
Source: RNAcentral
CAGUCUAGGAGAGAAUUGUAUCGAGGCUACAUACACUAGACAUUAGCGCCUUGGGGAAAUUCCUCGGAGAAACCGGUGCAAAGCACCCGGCGCGAAAGCUGCCGCCCCGCACAUCUGCACCCACAGCGAUGAUAUGAGCUAAAUGCGGAUAUGCGGUAUAUCUCCAAGCAAAGUUAUGCAAUGAUAACUCAAUGAGGAUUACUCCUCCUAGACA